UAGGGAAUCUUCGGCAAUGGGGGGAACCCUGACCGAGCAACGCCGCGUGAGUGAAGAAGGUUUUCGGAUCGUAAAGCUCUGUUGUUAAGGAAGAACGAGUGUGAGAAUGGAAAGUUCAUACUGUGACGGUACUUAACCAGAAAGGGACGGCUAACUACGUGCCAGCAGCCGCGGUAAUACGUAGGUCCCGAGCGUUGUCCGGAUUUAUUGGGCGUAAAGCGAGCGCAGGCGGUUAGAUAAGUCUGAUGUGAAAGCCCCCGGCUCAACCGGGGAGGGUCAUUGGAAACUGGUUGACUUGAGUGCAGAAGAGGAGAGUGGAAUUCCAUGUGUAGCGGUGAAAUGCGUAGAUAUAUGGGGGAACACCAGUGGCGAAGGCGACUCUCUGGUCUGUAACUGACGCUGAGGCUCGAAAGCGUGGGUAGCAAACAGG
RNAcentral lists this ribosomal RNA (430 nucleotides) under Bacteroidota bacterium. Its description in RNAcentral is "Bacteroidetes bacterium partial 16S ribosomal RNA". It matches the Rfam family "Bacterial small subunit ribosomal RNA", at positions 355 to 776 of the family's 1533-position model. The record is from RNAcentral. Lineage: Bacteria; Pseudomonadati; Bacteroidota.